CGAUGACUCAUGUCUGUGACAGUACCAAUCAUUCAGUCAAGUUCAACUUUUUUCUUCCUGUUCAUCUCAUUUUGUUUGCGGAGUACAUUACUGGUUCUCUGCCUGAUCAAUAUGCACCAGAGCAGACCCUACCUCGAGUGGAUCUAGGCUGGUCAUCCACCCAGAGGAAGGCCUCAGCGUCCUGCUUUGAUCAAGACAUUUCUCUGCUCCGCUGCAGGGCGCUUCGUGAACACAAGGGGGCACUCCACGCCUGCACUUCACUAUAAGGCUGCAGAGAACAGGCGUUGAAGCCCAUGGAGGGCAGGAGGAGGACGGCAGUGGUGAGGUGAGGAGGACAUUAUGGAUGGACAGGCAGCAGGAGAGCAUCCAGGAACAAUCUACUGCACAGACUCACAGUGGUCCUCACUACGGAUCACACAGGCUACCGUGAACAGUACUGUGCACUGGUGUGAAGUGGGUGACUACAAAUUAGCUUUGAACAAAUGCAAUGCGUUGUCCGGGUCACAACCCUGCAGGGCUUCCUCUGUGAUCAGAGCAAUCAACUGUGGAUCAUCACUGUUGAACACUGGGCCCUCUUGAGGGCUUCAGCGUUACACACUCAGGAAGAACACGAUGCAGCAGAAAGGAUGAAGGUUUGGAUUCUGACCUCGACCCUACAAAUGACUUGACACUGGAGCAUGUUUAAUUGAACAUCAUUAGACAGGCAAUUUGAAUAGAAUGACGCACAAAUGCAACACAAAUAGUCCUUUUACUAAACCAGGUUAUUGUCUGACGGCUCUGGCCCUCCUGGCUGCUUCCUUCUUCCUCCUUCUCUUCCUUCUCUUCUUUGUCCCGGCUCCCCCCCUCUCCCCCAGGCCGCUGGGAGCAGCAGAGUCGCAGCGUGUUACAAGCCUUGGUAGAAGGUCGCUCUUCAUCCAGCCCUCCAUGAGGCAUGAAGGAUGUCCAUGUAGUGGUCCAGCUGUGGUCAGUCUGGGACCACUGAUGUAGAGGAGGCUCUCCCUGUGGACCCCAGCAUUGUGCCGGCUGUGGGGUGCUGUCUGAGAUCCCUUCCUGCUGACAGAGGAAGAACGCCAUCCUCAAUACCAUUCUAGCUUCAAGAAUGAACAAAAUGACGUGAAUGCCAGAAUGACCUUGACGCAGAGUUUUUUUACGAGUUCAGUGCAAUGCUAUUGCCAGAAAGGCCAGCCAGCCCACUCUGUCAGCCAGCCAGCCCACUGGCAGGCUGGUUCCUCGUAACCAGCAGGGUACUGAGCCCUUUACAGGCUGCUUCCUCAUAACCAGCAGGGUACUGAGCCCUUUACAGGCUGGUUCCUCAUAACAAGCAGGGUACUGAGCCCUUUACAGGCUGGUUCCUCAUAACCAGCAGGGUGUACUGAGCCCUUUACAGGCUGGUUCCUCGUAACUAGCAGGGUACUGAGCCCUUUACAGGCAGUUUGAGGCUUCAAGGACCACUUGACCCGUGUCGUAGAACAAUUCAGACUGGCCUUAACCGCUUCAGGCUAGUGUGGUGCAGUGUUGUAUUUUUAUUCUGAAACGCUGUGGUUACUGCUAACACCAUAGUGCCGAACCACCAGGGUUCCAUCUGCUGUGUAGCCUAAAGGACACACACCGCCACGCAGGCCUACAUACAUGACCCCCCUUAACCCUAGCCCCUCAAAGGGCAAGACAAAACUCUUUCACAACAAGGAAGAGACCUUGAGUAUGACCCCAGAUUGGGGAUCCCUCCUUCCAGGGAUGGUACGGAGUGCAAUGGGUGCCAUCAUUUAUAGACAAAGUAGUAAUACAAACAAACAUUUGUAAACCAAUGUAGGAAAGAGUAUUCCAGAACCCCGCUCCCAAUCCCAGCUACAAACAGAGUCAUGGUUAGAUGGGGCAGGGUGGACCAGAAACAUGUAGGCCCUCUAAUCAGCCCUAGGAGCCAAACUAAAGAGUACAGAGGUACAUUUUAGGUGAUGAUCCAUGGAUUGCUCGUGAUAGGGGAACAGAGCUGCUUCCUGCUAAUUUCUUUCGUUUGUGUUUGUGUGUUUGUCUCCUUAAUCCAAAUGAUGUGAUUUGAAUCAGUCAUUAUGUUAAACUAUUGAUGUGUGUUUGUUUAGUUUAGCAUUCAUUUUGCAUUUGUGUGUGUGUGUGUGUGUGUGUGUGUGUGUUAUUCUUAAAGUCAAAGGAAUUUAGAUUAUUAGAUAGAGAUUAGCAAUAUUCAUUUUCUAGUUCCCUAUUGCAAGAACGACAAUACCCUAUUAGCCACAGUUGGUAAUAUGAAUGAAACGUAUCCCCCUUUUAUCUAGAAACAUAACAUGCGAUAAGUUGUUGAUAAUGGACCCCAACUCCAAACGUCCCCACUUAUUGGUCCCCUGAAUCGGAAGCAUACUGCCAACUAUGGUGCCUUAAUCCCAGACAUUACACAAGCUGCAAACCUUUAAUAACUUAAUCAACACAGUGAUCAUAAAAGACAGCAGUAAUACAGAAUAGAUUGGCCUAUUGGUCAUCUUGCUACGUUUAGAUAUUGAAUAUCCUAAUGCACCAGCUACUAAGUAAGAAAAUACCUGGAUUACAUAACCUAAUGUAUGAUAAAGGAAAUACUUUCAUCUACCAAGUACAUCAUGGUAAAUGUCUUUACUCAUCAAUGUAUCCGUUGACAAUAUAAAUUAGGAUGUAAAACUCUAUAACUUAAGCCUGUUGACCGGCUGCUUUCUUAGUUACUCACGGAGAAAAUGUCCAAAUGAACCAUUGAUAAACUUGCCAGCCAGUAACAAUAAUCAAAUACUUCUUGACCCUCUAUCACGCUGACUUUUGCUUGAUUACAAUUACAUUCUAACAACAAUUAACAUGUAUGGCAUCUAAAUGAAUAUGGUCCUCUCUCCCUCCCUCUCUCAGACUAUUUAAAGGAACGAAUGGUGAUCCACUAAUUCAGUGGACCUUGUCUUGUCUGUCUUUAUCUGAGAUCAUCAAACCACUGCACC
This 2960-nucleotide long non-coding RNA is filed under the name Gadus morhua (Atlantic cod). RNAcentral describes it as "lncRNA (ENSGMOG00000029678.1)". The record is from RNAcentral. Lineage: Eukaryota; Metazoa; Chordata; Actinopteri; Gadiformes; Gadidae.